This 869-nucleotide long non-coding RNA is filed under the name Equus caballus (horse). Its description in RNAcentral is "lncRNA (ENSECAG00000047406.1)". Lineage: Eukaryota; Metazoa; Chordata; Mammalia; Perissodactyla; Equidae. The record is from RNAcentral.
GGGGAGAGGAAGAUCUCAGAGCAGAACACUGCCACUCAUCAAUUUUUAAAAAGCAAGUAAUUGAAGAAAAGUAAGAAUCAGUGGCUAAAGAAACAAGAAAAAUGGAGAAGAGCACAGUCUUGGAAGCAAAAGUGGAGAAGGAGUUUGAAGGAGAGUGAACAAGUCUCAAGUACAGUGACAAUGACAUGUAAAGUGAAAACUGAAGGAGUCCAUUACUUUAUUGAACAAAGAGGUUUAAUUAUACCCUAAAAAGGCAUCAUUUUAAGCAUGUUGAGGAUGAUGGAAAUCAUUUAAAGCAGACAAGCAGAAAAAGGUCAUUCUUUGGAGAAGCAGGAAAGCAGCUCAUCUUACCUCUGUGCUGGGUGUACCCUUGGAAAACUUCCACAAUUAUUCUGGACUAAUGGAUAUUCUACCUCUCUUAAGGAAUUACAGCAGAUAUCCACCAUUUGACUUCCUGUAAGUCUCAUAAGGUUGCCACUCAAAAGACGUCACUUGCUCUCCAGUGAAAGAGCUGUACACACCACCUGAGCAAGGCCAGCGAGACCAACUCUCCCAAGAAGAUGAACUAUUGCAACUCUUUUGAGGAAAGAAACUAGGUCUUAUUCCCAGAACCUAAAACAGUGCCAAGAACAUGUUCUCAGCUGCUUCUUAUUUCACUGAGAAUACAGGUGGGAUCAGAAGAGAAUCUCCAAGACCUCCAAACAUCACGUCAACCAUCCUCUCCAGUGGAACACAAGAUCCAUGAAGAAGAGAUAGACUUGUUCACUCCCGCAUCUCCAGUGCCUUGGACAGCAGCUCAUCUGAGACACUCCACCAGCAUCUGCUGAAUGAAUGAACAUCAACUUGCCUGAUGACCAAACACAGUUCAC